AGAGUUUGAUCAUGGCUCAGGACGAACGCUGGCGGCGUGCCUAAUACAUGCAAGUCGAGCGGUAAGGCUCCUUCGGGAGUACACGAGCGGCGAACGGGUGAGUAACACGUGAGCAAUCUACCCUUCACAUUGGGAUAACUUCGGGAAACCGAAGCUAAUACCGAAUGCGACCAUCGAUGGCAUCAUCUGAUGGUGGAAAGUUCCGGCGGUGAAGGAUGAGCUCGCGGCCUAUCAGCUUGUUGGUGGGGUAAUGGCCCACCAAGGCGACGACGGGUAGCCGGCCUGAGAGGGUGACCGGCCACACUGGGACUGAGACACGGCCCAGACUCCUACGGGAGGCAGCAGUGGGGAAUAUUGGACAAUGGGCGAAAGCCUGAUCCAGCAACGCCGCGUGAGGGAUGACGGCCUUCGGGUUGUAAACCUCUUUCAGCAGGGACGAAGCGCAAGUGACGGUACCUGCAGAAGAAGCACCGGCCAACUACGUGCCAGCAGCCGCGGUAAUACGUAGGGUGCAAGCGUUGUCCGGAAUCAUUGGGCGUAAAGGGCUCGUAGGCGGUCCAUCGCGUCGGGAGUGAAAAGCUGGGGCUCAACCCCAGUCUUGCUUCCGAUACGGGUGGACUAGAGGUAGGCAGGGGAGAAUGGAAUUCCUGGUGUAGCGGUGAAAUGCGCAGAUAUCAGGAGGAACACCGGUGGCGAAGGCGGUUCUCUGGGCCUUACCUGACGCUGAGGAGCGAAAGCGUGGGGAGCAAACAGGAUUAGAUACCCCCGUAGUCC
This 774-nucleotide ribosomal RNA is filed under the name uncultured Marmoricola sp. RNAcentral's name for it is "bacterial SSU rRNA". It matches the Rfam family "Bacterial small subunit ribosomal RNA", at positions 8 to 796 of the family's 1533-position model. The record is from RNAcentral. Lineage: Bacteria; Bacillati; Actinomycetota; Actinomycetes; Propionibacteriales; Nocardioidaceae.